UGGACACACGUUUCUCUUUCA
RNAcentral lists this non-coding RNA (21 nucleotides) under Arabidopsis thaliana (thale cress). The record is from RNAcentral. Lineage: Eukaryota; Viridiplantae; Streptophyta; Magnoliopsida; Brassicales; Brassicaceae.